Molecule: ribosomal RNA, 123 nt
Organism: Periophthalmus magnuspinnatus
Lineage: Eukaryota; Metazoa; Chordata; Actinopteri; Gobiiformes; Gobiidae
Source: Ensembl
GAUCAUAAUCAGAAGUUAGUGUCAAAACCGAAUCUUUUCUGCUCUUUGAAGCUAAGCAGGGUUGUGCCUGGCCAGUACUUGGAUGGGACACCAUUAGAUACGACAGUCAGGCAGCUGUGGCAA